UCAAUUUCUGAUAAGCUUUCUGCCUUCCUUAAAAUGGCAGAGUUUGAAUUAUCGCGCAAGUGACUUUAAGCGCGAAUUCAAAUCUAGUUGAAAAGCAGAUA
Caenorhabditis elegans is the source of this 101-nucleotide non-coding RNA. The record is from Ensembl. NCBI's taxonomy places the organism in Eukaryota, Metazoa, Nematoda, Chromadorea, Rhabditida, Rhabditidae.